GGGAGUAUGUAUUUCAGAACUUGAAAUUUACUUGCUCAGAACCAUCUAAAUCCAAGAUCUAUGGUUGAAUAUGGUGGAUAAGCCCAUAUAUAUACACGUGAAGAACUAGAGUGUCUAUAACACCAUAACCAGCAAUGACAGCUUUUUAAAAGGUGGACAUCAUUGAACAGAAUCAACACAUUCUUCUAAUACCAUGUCUAUGCUUUCAAGUAUUUACAAAAGCAAUGCAG
Molecule: non-coding RNA, 230 nt
Organism: Pelobates cultripes (western spadefoot toad)
Lineage: Eukaryota; Metazoa; Chordata; Amphibia; Anura; Pelobatidae
Source: the annotation of a GenBank genome assembly